This 229-nucleotide ribosomal RNA is filed under the name uncultured bacterium. RNAcentral's name for it is "partial 16S ribosomal RNA". It matches the Rfam family "Bacterial small subunit ribosomal RNA", at positions 568 to 796 of the family's 1533-position model. The record is from RNAcentral.
UACGUAGGCGGAAAAUUAAGUCAGUAGUGAAAUCCUGCAGCUUAACUGUAGAACUGUUAUUGAUACUGGUUUUCUUGAAUAUAGUUGAGGUAGGCGGAAUGUGUAAUGUAGCGGUGAAAUGCUUAGAUAUUACACAGAACACCGAUUGCGAAGGCAGCUUGCUAAACUAUGAUUGACGCUGAUGCACGAAAGCGUGGGGAGCGAACAGGAUUAGAUACCCUGGUAGUCC